GAUGCCAAGCUUCCAGGAAAAGCCUCUAAGCAUCAGGUGACAUUCAAUCGUACCCCAAACCGACACAGGUGGUCAGGUAGAGAAUACUCAGGCGCUUGAGAGAACUCGGGUGAAGGAACUAGGCAAAAUGGUGCCGUAACUUCGGGAGAAGGCACGCUGGCAUUAGGUAAAGAGACUUGCUCUCGGCGCCGAAGCCAGUCGCAGAUACCAGCUGGCUGCAACUGUUUAAUAAAAACACAGCACUGUGCAAACACGAAAGUGGACGUAUACGGUGUGACGCCUGCCCGGUGCUGGAAGGUUAAUUGAUGGGGUCAGCCGCAAGGCGAAGCUCUUGAUCGAAGCCCCAGUAAACGGCGGCCGUAACUAUAACGGUCCUAAGGUAGCGAAAUUCCUUGUCGGGUAAGUUCCGACCUGCACGAAUGGCGUAAUGAUGGCCAGGCUGUCUCCACCCGAGACUCAGUGAAAUUGAACUCGCUGUGAAGAUGCAGUGUACCCGCGGCAAGACGGAAAGACCCCGUGAACCUUUACUAUAGCUUGACACUGAAUAUUGAGCCUUGAUGUGUAGGAUAGGUGGGAGGCAUCGAAGCGUGGACGCCAGUCUGCGUGGAGCCAACCUUGAAAUACCACCCUUUAAUGUUUGAUGUUCUAACUCGGCCCCAUAAUCUGGGGUGAGGACAGUGUCUGGUGGGUAGUUUGACUGGGGCGGUCUCCUCCCAAAGAGUAACGGAGGAGCACGAAGGUUAGCUAAUCACGGUCGGACAUCGUGAGGUUAGUGCAAAGGCAUAAGCUAGCUUGACUGCGAGAGUGACGGCUCGAGCAGGUACGAAAGUAGGUCUUAGUGAUCCGGUGGUUCUGAAUGGAAGGGCCAUCGCUCAACGGAUAAAAGGUACUCCGGGGAUAACAGGCUGAUACCGCCCAAGAGUUCAUAUCGACGGCGGUGUUUGGCACCUCGAUGUCGGCUCAUCACAUCCUGGGGCUGAAGUAGGUCCCAAGGGUAUGGCUGUUCGCCAUUUAAAGUGGUACGCGAGCUGGGUUUAGAACGUCGUGAGACAGUUCGGUCCCUAUCUGCCGUGGGCGUUGGAAGAUUGAGAGGGGCUGCUCCUAGUACGAGAGGACCGGAGUGGACGCAUCACUGGUGUUCGGGUUGUCAUGCCAAUGGCAUUGCCCGGUAGCUAAAUGCGGAAAAGAUAAGCGCUGAAAGCAUCUAAGCGCGAAACUUGCCUCGAGAUGAGUCUUCCCUGGGGCUUUAAGCCCCCUGAAGGAACGUUAAAGACUAUGACGUUGAUAGGCUGGGUGUGUAAGUGCAGCGAUGCAUUGAGCUAACCAGUACUAAUGAUCCGU
RNAcentral lists this ribosomal RNA (1341 nucleotides) under Yersinia ruckeri. Its description in RNAcentral is "partial 23S ribosomal RNA". It matches the Rfam family "Bacterial large subunit ribosomal RNA", at positions 1596 to 2912 of the family's 2925-position model. Lineage: Bacteria; Pseudomonadati; Pseudomonadota; Gammaproteobacteria; Enterobacterales; Yersiniaceae. The record is from RNAcentral.